UAACACGUGGGGAACCUGCCCCAUAGUCUGGGAUACCACUUGGAAACAGGUGCUAAUACCGGAUAAGAAAGCGGAUCGCAUGAUCAGCUUUUAAAAGGCGGCGUAAGCUGUCGCUAUGGGAUGGCCCCGCGGUGCAUUAGCUAGUUGGUAAGGUAAAGGCUUACCAAGGCGAUGAUGCAUAGCCGAGUUGAGAGACUGAUCGGCCACAUUGGGACUGAGACACGGCCCAAACUCCUACGGGAGGCAGCAGAC
This 252-nucleotide ribosomal RNA is filed under the name uncultured Lactobacillus sp. RNAcentral describes it as "partial 16S ribosomal RNA". It matches the Rfam family "Bacterial small subunit ribosomal RNA", at positions 111 to 354 of the family's 1533-position model. Lineage: Bacteria; Bacillati; Bacillota; Bacilli; Lactobacillales; Lactobacillaceae. The record is from RNAcentral.